GAGGGCGGGUAGACGGUCGCGGCGCUUGCGCCGAGGAAAGUCCGGGCACCGCAGGGCAGGGUGGUGGCUAACGGCCACCGUUCGCAAGGAUAGGGAAAGUGCCACAGAGAACAGACCGCCGUCCGGCUUCGGCCGGGCGGUAAGGGUGAAACGGUGGGGUAAGAGCCCACCGCGGGCGAUGGUGACAUCCCCGGCACGGCAAACCCCACCCGGUGAAAGGCCAGAUAGGGAGGAAGGGGCGGCCCGUCCCGUCAGCACCUCCGGGCUGGCCGUUCGAGGCGGCAGGCAACUGCCGUCCCAGACAAAUGACCGUCCACGACAAGACCCGGCUUAACGCCCGCGCCUCGGGA
RNAcentral lists this RNase P RNA (350 nucleotides) under Planctomycetota bacterium. RNAcentral describes it as "Planctomycetes bacterium (stromatolite metagenome) RNase P RNA component class A". It matches the Rfam family "Bacterial RNase P class A". From Rfam's summary of the family: Ribonuclease P (RNase P) is a ubiquitous endoribonuclease, found in archaea, bacteria and eukarya as well as chloroplasts and mitochondria. The record is from RNAcentral. Lineage: Bacteria; Pseudomonadati; Planctomycetota.